CUCUCUAUAUAUGUAUCGACUUUAAACAAUAGUUGACUUCUCUCUGUAUAUUGUCCUCUUCAACAAAGCAUCAGUGAACCACUUCAAAACAAUACCAUCCCUGUAGCUGCUUCACAAUCACCCCUGCUCUGCUUGGCUUUCCUUAGCAACCUUAAACGCCACGUCAAUGAAUAAAGUUGUGCUAUAAAGGUGGAACUAAAAGAUGACAAAAUUAAUAAAAAAGCCAUAAAGGCAGUCUCCAGUUUUUCAGUAUCCAAGUUAGAAUUAUUUGAAGGGGAUUAUUUCAGGGGCUGAAUCAGUCUCAGUGGAUAUGAAGGACCAGAAAUUGACCUUAAUUGAAGACAUCGAUCCUGCGGUUGUAGUGGACAAGCUGAGAGAGCUAUGUCACACUGACAUACUCUCUAUUGGACCACCAAGGAAAAGA
Long non-coding RNA from Glycine soja, 424 nucleotides. RefSeq lists it as uncharacterized. The transcript has 3 exons. The record is from RefSeq and is a predicted model, not a curated record. Lineage: Eukaryota; Viridiplantae; Streptophyta; Magnoliopsida; Fabales; Fabaceae.